GAGCUGUCGUUAGUGAGGGACGCAGGGGAAGGGUGCGGGAGUAGAGGGCAGGAAGGGAGAAAGCAGGCAGGUUCGGGAAUGUUAAUCGAGGUGCACGAGCGGGCGCUAGGACCGGGCAUCGGAAAGAUGCAGCUUGGGUGCCGACAGUGCCUUCGCUUGCCUGGAGGUGACGCGGCAGAGGCGGAGGUCUCUGGCCUGGACGAAGCGCCGGAGGGAGGGGAGACCCGACUAUUAUUACCUUCGGCCUCGAUUCGCCCCUCUCUGCGCGGUCCCUUCCUUCCCUUCCCUCCUCCUGCCUGGGGGUCGUGCUCCGGCCCAGGGGUGUCCAACCUCUCCUCGAGCCCCAUGGCACCUGCCCAGCCCCACCUCGCACGCCUGCGCAUCCCUGCGCGCCGGGGCCGUGUGGUGCAGGCCGUGGAGAGACCCGGCCACUGAUUGGCUGCUGCGCGCUGGGGGCGGGGCGGCUGGGAGAUGCCCGUCCUCUGCGCCGCUCGGUGUCUUUCCCGCCAUGUCGUUCGUGGAGAGCGCGAAGCGCUCUUCUUUGCUGCGCCGUCGCCGCGGCACCCCCGUCCCUUUCGCUCGGCCGAGGUUAUCCGCCUUGACUCAAGGGGACAGUUGGGGUGAAGGUGAAGACGAUGAGGAGGGAUACGACCAAGUAGCCCGCGACUUGCGGGCGGAACUGUCCGCGGGGGCGUCGUCGGAGCCUAGAAAGGGCGCGCUGCUCCCGCCGGAGAAGGACGGCUCUCCCGUCCUGCCAGACAAACGCAACGGCUUCUUCUCGGCGGAGGCGCGCGGCCCAGCCCGGGCGCGGCGGUGGCCGGUGCGGGUCCUCUCGAUUCUCUGUGCGCUGCUGUUUGCCGUCCUCCUCGCUUGCCUUCUCGCCAUCGCCUACCCGAUCGUGAAAGGCUUACAUGCUGAGAAUUUGAAGAAUGAAGAUGAUGUUGACACCGGGCUAUUAGGAUUCUGGACUCUACUUAUAAUAUCCCUAACUGCUGGGUUCUCCUGCUGCAGCUUUUCUUGGACAGUGACUUACUUUGACUCUUUUGAGCCAGGAAUGUUUCCUCCUACUCCUCUUUCACCUGCCAGGUUCAAGAGCCCCAAAUUGGAAGCAACCCAAACGUCGAACAUUAGGAUGGAUAGAUAAGUUUUGGUAUUUUUAUGGAGUACUAAGCAGCAUUACAAACAAACACAUUUAUGCUACAUAAAACAUGGAUGAAUCUCACAGACAGGACUGAGUGAAAGAAUUCAGACACAAACGAAUACAAUGCCACGUAGAUGGAGUUUCAAGAGCAGAUGAAACCAGUCAUCAUGAUAGCUGACAGUAUAGUGGUUAUCCCAGGAUAUUGACAGGGAAAAGGAACAAAGUUUCUGCAGUGCUGGAAAUGUUCUAUAUUUGGUCUGGAUGGAAACUUACUGGACAUUCUUUCCACAUGGGCUAUAGUAUGGCAAUUUUGAACGGCAUUGUAGCUGCUCUUACUGUUGCAUGGUGCCUCAUGUAAACCUGCACUGAAACAGUAUUCUUGGCAAAGCUUAGUCAUGAUUGCUUUGUAGUACCAGGGAAGAAGAUCAUUGCCUACUCAGAAGACCAAGAAACCUGCUGUUCGUUAUGUGAUUCCGAUGUCUGCCAUAUCAUCAUUAUGGAGGAUCUUUUUAAGCAUCGUUCUUCAACCUAGGCACUGGGUUAUCUGAAUAUUAAGUUUCAAGUAGUUUCUUAAAAUUGUAAGAUGUUUACCUUA
RNA transcript from Myotis myotis, 1736 nucleotides. It is a transcript of the gene named ADP ribosylation factor like GTPase 6 interacting protein 6, with no coding region annotated. The transcript has 5 exons. Lineage: Eukaryota; Metazoa; Chordata; Mammalia; Chiroptera; Vespertilionidae. The record is from RefSeq and is a predicted model, not a curated record.